GCGCUCGUAGCUCAGCUGGAUAGAGUACCUGGCUACGAACCAGGCGGUCAGAGGUUCGA
This 59-nucleotide transfer RNA is filed under the name Vibrio cholerae HC-37A1. RNAcentral's name for it is "partial tRNA-OTHER". It matches the Rfam family "tRNA", at positions 1 to 56 of the family's 71-position model. From Rfam's summary of the family: Transfer RNA (tRNA) molecules are approximately 80 nucleotides in length. Their secondary structure includes four short double-helical elements and three loops (D, anti-codon, and T loops). RNAcentral also lists the same sequence under 1 other name. Lineage: Bacteria; Pseudomonadati; Pseudomonadota; Gammaproteobacteria; Vibrionales; Vibrionaceae. The record is from RNAcentral.